RNAcentral lists this ribosomal RNA (785 nucleotides) under Lepraria yunnaniana. RNAcentral's name for it is "SSU rRNA". It matches the Rfam family "Bacterial small subunit ribosomal RNA", at positions 368 to 1200 of the family's 1533-position model. Lineage: Eukaryota; Fungi; Ascomycota; Lecanoromycetes; Lecanorales; Stereocaulaceae. The record is from RNAcentral.
UGUAUAGCAAUAGCUGAUUGCACCAACAAAUAGUUGAUGCAAUAUUGACUCUGUCAAAUAAAAUUCUAGGUAGAAUUAUGAUAAUGACAUUGUCUGCCUAUAUGUCUUGACCAAAUUACGUGCCAGCAGUCGCGGUAAUACGUAGAAGACUAGUGUUAUUCAUCUUUAAUAGGUUUAAAGGGUACCUAGACGGUAAAUCAAGCCUUCACAGGGACUAAUUUACUAGAGUUACUUACGAGGGGGUAUUAAAGUACUGCAGGUGUAGAGAUGAAAUUCUGUGAUACCUCUUUUCAAAAGAAAAAUUAUGGCACAGGUAUAGGUGAAAGCAUCCCCUUAUGUGAUAACUGACGUUGAAGGACGAAGGCUUUGUGUCGCGAACAGGAUUAGAUACCCCAGUAGUCAAAGCAGAAAAUGAUGAAUGUCAUAGAUUAGAUAAAUAGUUUAUUCUAUAAAUGAAAAUGUAAGCAUUCCACCUCAAGAGUAAUUUGGCAACAUUGGAACUGAAAUCAUUAGACCGUUUCUGAAACCAGUAGUGAAGUAUGUUGUUUAAUUUGAUGAUCCGCAAAAAACCUUACCACAAUUUGAAUAUUUAUAUCUAUCUUUUUUUUUCGUAAAAAAAUAAAAAGGUAAUAUAUUUACAAGCGUUGCACGGCUGUCUUCAGUUAAUGUCGCGAGACUUUGGUUAGUUCCAUUAAAUUAACGUAAACCCUUACUUUAUUUUUAUAUAAAGUAGUUCCCCGCUAUAUUGGAUAUGAUAACAGGGACUAAGACAAGUCAUCAUGGCC